RNAcentral lists this long non-coding RNA (806 nucleotides) under Chrysemys picta bellii (western painted turtle). RNAcentral describes it as "lncRNA (ENSCPBG00000002215.1)". The record is from RNAcentral. Lineage: Eukaryota; Metazoa; Chordata; Testudines; Emydidae.
CGCAGUCCCCUGCAGAGACACACACAGCUUUUCUCACUGUUCCUCUUCCAGUUAUUUCCCUCUUUGUUUCUUUCUCUCUCCAGGGGGCUUGCUUUAUGCUGCGCCGCCUUAGGUGACUGGCUGGCUGUGUAUGGUCUAGCCAUCAGACUGUACCUUUUCCUGGAACUCGAGCCUUUUACGCUUUCCAGCAGGGUGAAUGUUAAACGCAAAUAUUUAAAACAGUCUCUUGGACGCAUCGGGAACAAUUUGAUGAUCGGGCUGAUACUGCUGAAGACAGGGAGAGCUUCUGACUCACAGUGCCCAUUCCUGGCGGUUCUGUUGCAGAGAUGGAUCUGGACCUAAACUAGACCUGUGCCUUCAGCUCCCACCAAGCUUUGGAGUGGUUCGGCUACUGCUUCUGACCUCAUCCUUCUCUCUAACCAAGGGCUCAACCAGAACGCUGAAUCCAACCCAACCCAGCUUCAGAGACAUUUGGAUUCUGGCUCCAAUCUUCAUGACUCACCUCAGACCACUGUGAGGUAAAUCAGAAUUAUUAUCCCCGCUGGGGAAACUGAGGCACGCGGCAAUUAACUGACCUGCCCAAGGCCAUGUGGGUGGGCAGUCUGUGGUGGAGUUGGAUGGAACCAAGGAAUCCUAAUUUCCAGGCCUCGGCAUUAACCACCAGAGCAUGAUUCAUCUUCCUAUCUGGGAUGGAGAACAAUGAUUGUUUGAUUUAUUAAGUAUCCACCAGCAGCGCCGGGUUCCCUGAGCAGUGAUGAGAACAGAUUAAAAUACAAUAAAGACGUAGCAGCACAGAUGUUCUUCCA